UACGUAGGUGGCAAGCGUUGUCCGGAUUUACUGGGCGUAAAGAGCGCGCAGGUGGUUGGAUAAGUCGAAUGUGAAAGCCCCCGGCUCAACUGGGGAGGGUCAUUCGAUACUGUCCGACUCGAAGGCAGGAGAGGGAAGCGGAAUUCCCGGUGUAGUGGUGAAAUGCGUAGAUAUCGGGAGGAACACCAGUGGCGAAGGCGGCUUUCUGGCCUGUUCUUGACGCUGAGGCGCGAAAGCCAGGGGAGCAAACGGG
This 253-nucleotide ribosomal RNA is filed under the name uncultured bacterium. Its description in RNAcentral is "partial 16S ribosomal RNA". It matches the Rfam family "Bacterial small subunit ribosomal RNA", at positions 524 to 776 of the family's 1533-position model. The record is from RNAcentral.